RNAcentral lists this ribosomal RNA (465 nucleotides) under Paracorbulo sirokata. RNAcentral describes it as "partial 16S ribosomal RNA". The stretch from base 339 to 465 matches the Rfam family "Bacterial large subunit ribosomal RNA", at positions 2473 to 2600 of the family's 2925-position model. The record is from RNAcentral. RNAcentral also lists the same sequence under 1 other name. Lineage: Eukaryota; Metazoa; Arthropoda; Insecta; Hemiptera; Delphacidae.
UUUAAAUGGCUGCAGUAUUUUAACUGUACAAAGGUAGCGUAGUAAUUAGUCUUUUAAUUGGGGUCUUGAAUGAAUGGUUUAACAAGAAAUUAACUUUAUUAAGUUAAAUUUAUGAAUUUAAUUUUUUAGUUAAAAAGCUAAAAUAUUUAAGUGGGACGAUAAGACCCUAUAGAUCUUUAAUUUUUUUACUAAUAAAAUAUUUAAGUGAAGAUUCAUUUAAUUAGUAAGAAAUUUUUUGUUGGGGUUACAUUAAAAUUUUUAAGACUUUUAAAUUAUUUUACAUUUAUAAAUGAAUAACUGAACCUAACUUUUAGGUUGUUAAAAUAAGAUACCUUAGGGAUAACAGCGUAAUAGAUUUGUAUAGUUCUUAUAAAUAAAUUUGUUUACGACCUCGAUGUUGAAUUAACUUAAAGUUUUGGAGCAGAGGAUAAAAUUUUAGGUCUGUUCGACCUUUAAAAGGUUACA